CCUUUACUCGGGGAUAGCCUUUCGAAAGAAAGAUUAAUACCCGAUAGUAUAAUGAUUCCGCAUGGUUUCAUUAUUAAAGGAUUCCGGUAAAGGAUGGGGAUGCGUUCCAUUAGGUUGUUGGUGAGGUAACGGCUCACCAAGCCUUCGAUGGAUAGGGGUUCUGAGAGGAAGGUCCCCCACAUUGGAACUGAGACACGGUCCAA
This 203-nucleotide ribosomal RNA is filed under the name uncultured bacterium. RNAcentral's name for it is "partial 16S ribosomal RNA". It matches the Rfam family "Bacterial small subunit ribosomal RNA", at positions 130 to 334 of the family's 1533-position model. The record is from RNAcentral.